RNAcentral lists this ribosomal RNA (465 nucleotides) under uncultured Klebsiella sp. RNAcentral's name for it is "bacterial SSU rRNA". It matches the Rfam family "Bacterial small subunit ribosomal RNA", at positions 338 to 795 of the family's 1533-position model. The record is from RNAcentral. Lineage: Bacteria; Pseudomonadati; Pseudomonadota; Gammaproteobacteria; Enterobacterales; Enterobacteriaceae.
CCUACGGGGGGCUGCAGUGGGGAAUAUUGCACAAUGGGCGCAAGCCUGAUGCAGCCAUGCCGCGUGUGUGAAGAAGGCCUUCGGGUUGUAAAGCACUUUCAGCGGGGAGGAAGGCGUUAAGGUUAAUAACCUUGGCGAUUGACGUUACCCGCAGAAGAAGCACCGGCUAACUCCGUGCCAGCAGCCGCGGUAAUACGGAGGGUGCAAGCGUUAAUCGGAAUUACUGAGCGUAAAGCGCACGCAGGCGGUCUGUCAAGUCGGAUGUGAAAUCCCCGGGCUCAACCUGGGAACUGCAUUCGAAACUGGCAGGCUAGAGUCUUGUAGAGGGGGGUAGAAUUCCAGGUGUAGCGGUGAAAUGCGUAGAGAUCUGGAGGAAUACCGGUGGCGAAGGCGGCCCCCUGGACAAAGACUGACGCUCAGGUGCGAAAGCGUGGGGAGCAAACAGGAUUAGAUACCCGUGUAGUC